UAAGAUGUAGUUAGAUGGUAGUGUAAA
This 27-nucleotide non-coding RNA is filed under the name Mus musculus (house mouse). Lineage: Eukaryota; Metazoa; Chordata; Mammalia; Rodentia; Muridae. The record is from RNAcentral.